CUAAUGUCGGGCGGCCAACCUCGCUAUCAACCCCGAUGCGCGAAAUGCAAUUCGCUCUCAGGUUGAUUUUCUAACUCGGUCAGCUGGUCAGUUUGGCAGCUAACGAAGACUGCCAAACUGACAAAUUUUUUGCAAAAAAUUAUGUUCUGCUCCUUGGUUUGAAAAUGGGGCGCGCCGCCAAUUCUCCCGAACAAACCGAAGGCAUUAAAAAUUGGAUCGAAAAAUUUUCGAAAGAAGGUAAAGUGCAAUAAUUUUUUAAUAGUUUUUAUGCAUAAAAGAAUCAUCACAAUUUUAUUAACUUUGUUGAUUUGUUCGUUAAUUGUUUUCAGUCAGGAUGAAGAAAGUUCUAACAAAUCCGCUGCCGGCAAACAGGCAGCAAGCGCCCCGAAACCAGACAUCGCCGACGGUAAAUACGGAGAAUUUGCGGCAAAUACAUUCGAUUUAUGGAAACCGAAAUCGAAUAAGCCCGUGCCCUUGGCAGUGC
This 484-nucleotide unclassified non-coding RNA is filed under the name plant metagenome. RNAcentral's name for it is "partial contains 5.8S ribosomal RNA, internal transcribed spacer 2, and large subunit ribosomal RNA". The record is from RNAcentral.